GCCUUCGUGGUGAAGUGGUCAGCACGCUCGACGAGUAUUCGAGUGGUCGCUGGUUCGAGUCCCGGCGAAGGCA
This is a non-coding RNA of Stegodyphus dumicola, 73 nucleotides long. Lineage: Eukaryota; Metazoa; Arthropoda; Arachnida; Araneae; Eresidae. The record is from the annotation of a RefSeq genome assembly.